UACGUAGGGGCCUAGCGUUGUCCGGAAUCAUUGGGCGUAAAGAGCUCGUAGGCGGUUCGGCAAGUCACGUGUGAAAUCUCCACGCUUAACGUGGAGGCGCCACGUGAAACUGCCGUGACUCGAGUCCGGUAGGGGAGUGUGGAAUUCCCGGUGUAGCGGUGAAAUGCGCAGAUAUCGGGAGGAACACCAGUAGCGAAGGCGGCACUCUGGGCCGGUACUGACGCUGAGGAGCGAAAGCGUGGGGAGCGAACAGA
This 254-nucleotide ribosomal RNA is filed under the name uncultured bacterium. Its description in RNAcentral is "partial 16S ribosomal RNA". It matches the Rfam family "Bacterial small subunit ribosomal RNA", at positions 524 to 776 of the family's 1533-position model. The record is from RNAcentral.